Molecule: long non-coding RNA, 1204 nt
Filed under: Calidris pugnax (ruff)
Lineage: Eukaryota; Metazoa; Chordata; Aves; Charadriiformes; Scolopacidae
Description: lncRNA (ENSCPUG00000001590.1)
Source: RNAcentral
GUAAAGCUGCCUCAGCUCACUGGGGUUAUUAUUAAAUGCACUCUCCUGCUUUUUUUUUUUUUUUUUUUUUCCCCAAGGUCAAGGUUAAUAAUUAGGUGGCUGGUGUGCCUGUUAUGUAGGGGAAAAAAAAGAAGCAAUUUAAAGGAUGCAUCAGACAUUCCCAAGUGAGGAAAUUUCUGCGGAGCAUUAGAAGAUCUGCUGAAGGUGGGCCAGGGAGGUAGGGUGAAUCAGGGAAUGACAUGGCCCACCUCGCUGGUCGGUGGACAAAGCUUGGACAUGCUCCCAGUACGAAGCACGUUAGAUAUAUUUCUAUAAGGGAACGUGAGAAAGCGAGUGAGGAGAUUCGAAGCUGAGCUCCAGCUUCUGAAAUGAAGAGGUGAAGGUGGCUCCUCUGUGCUGCCCUUUUCAUUUGAGCUGGUGUAACAAUAGUGAAUUGAGCUGUUUGGUUUGCUUCUGGACGCUUUUCUUUCACAGGUCCACAGGACUUGUGGCACAUCAUGGAGUUCCCAGGCCAUGUGUUUUUGGGGGUAUGCACGCAAAUUGGGAUGGGUCAGCCACUGAGCAGGAGGUCUCACUCUUGCCCUGGCCACUCAGUGGUACCUCCAGCAACGCCAGACAUCGCAGUGGUUUCCCGGGUUGAAGUUGAGAGGCUGGAAAAGGAGGACACGGCCAGGAACAGAGAAACUGAGCCACAAAGUCUUGCCCAGGAAAGUCUGUUCUGGAUCUGACUGAAAAGGAUGACAGUAAAAACACAUAAAUUGUCCUCUUCAGCUUCUUUAUUGCGUGCUGUUCUGCUGGUUUUAUGCGGAGAAGCUUUCUGCAGGUGAAGGGGUUGGUCUUGCAAAGCAGAGAGUGUUCUUGGUCUGUCCAACUGUGAACAUGAAGAAUAUCUCAAUAGCUUAAAGGAGGUUAUCUGCUAGACCUGAGGUAGGUUGACCAAAGCAAGGACUACAGGUGUUGCAAAAACUUAAAAAAAUAUUUUUUCCAAUAAUCACUGGUCACUGUAUAUUCUAAGCCCUCAUUUUUAUGUUGUUUUUCUAAGGAAUUAAGUAGUUCCUUAUGUGCCAAUGUUGAUGGUUUUGUCCUUCACCAAAACUUUUGAACCAGCUGAUCUCUUUUAGAUAGACAAAGGGACAGAGGUUAAUUAAAGAUAUUAAUUUCCUGUGAAUUUUGGAAAAAUAAAUAGAAGGGAGGCAGUGGGCCA